GAGAGUAAAGUGCAGUUUUCCUCCGCUCCUCAAGGCGGCAGAAGCGGGUUCUCCUUCAGUCUGACGCUUCUGCUGCUUGACAACAUGACGCUUGAUGACAAUCACAACAACAUGAGCAGAUCCUGCAGAUGAGAAGAUGACAGCUCUUAAUGUCACUUUAACAGCACAUAUUACAGCUCAACCGCAAAUAAAACCGACGCAAUCAAACGACACAUAAAUGAGGGAACCGAGUGCGGCACAAGACUCACCUAAGGAAUGUGUUUGGACCAUUACAUCCAGUCAUCAGAAGCAGAGCUGUGGGACGUGUGGACAGACAUUGACUGUAAUGAUGGACGUCUGCUGAUGGACAGCAUAACCCCUGCUGCUGACUGUCCCGGAAGCUCCGGGGGGAGACCGUACUGGUAUCCCCCUCCUUUGGGCGCGCCACUCACACACUCACACAACAUCCACUCCUAUCGCGGAGAUCUGGCUGGGAUCAAACCAGCAACCUCUGAACCCGUGAGGCAGCGCUCUUACCUGUGAGCCACAGAUCUCUUGCUGAUGAUGUGCUGGAACUUAUAUUUCACUGUUAUCCUGAGAGUUUCCAAUAAAGCAGUUAAAGUGAGAUUC
Non-coding RNA from Pimephales promelas (fathead minnow), 609 nucleotides. NCBI's taxonomy places the organism in Eukaryota, Metazoa, Chordata, Actinopteri, Cypriniformes, Leuciscidae. The record is from RefSeq and is a predicted model, not a curated record.